UUCUCUGAUGUUAGCGGCGGACGGGUGAGUAACACGUGGGUAACCUACCUAUAAGACUGGGAUAACUCCGGGAAACCGGGGCUAAUACCGGAUAAUAUUUUGAACCGCAUGGUUCAAUAGUGAAAGACGGUUUCGGCUGUCACUUAUAGAUGGACCCGCGCCGUAUUAGCUAGUUGGUAA
RNAcentral lists this ribosomal RNA (180 nucleotides) under Mammaliicoccus sciuri. Its description in RNAcentral is "Staphylococcus sciuri partial 16S ribosomal RNA". It matches the Rfam family "Bacterial small subunit ribosomal RNA", at positions 82 to 255 of the family's 1533-position model. Lineage: Bacteria; Bacillati; Bacillota; Bacilli; Caryophanales; Staphylococcaceae. The record is from RNAcentral.